AUACGGAGGGAGCGAGCGUUAAUCGGAAUUACUGGGCGUAAAGCGCGCGUAGGCGGCUUUGUAAGUCGGAUGUGAAAGCCCAGGGCUUAACCCUGGAAUUGCAUUCGAUACUGCAGAGCUAGAGUAUGGUAGAGGGAAGUGGAAUUUCCGGUGUAGCGGUGAAAUGCGUAGAUAUCGGAAGGAACACCAGUGGCGAAGGCGACUUCCUGGGCCAAUACUGACGCUAAGGUGCGAAAGCGUGGGGAGCAAACAGAAUUAGAUACCCGAGUAGUCC
This 274-nucleotide ribosomal RNA is filed under the name uncultured bacterium. Its description in RNAcentral is "partial 16S ribosomal RNA". It matches the Rfam family "Bacterial small subunit ribosomal RNA", at positions 523 to 796 of the family's 1533-position model. The record is from RNAcentral.